Molecule: non-coding RNA, 72 nt
Organism: Caenorhabditis brenneri
Lineage: Eukaryota; Metazoa; Nematoda; Chromadorea; Rhabditida; Rhabditidae
Source: the annotation of a GenBank genome assembly
GCUCCUGUGGCGUAGUGGUUAUCACUCUUGUUUUGUAAAUUCAGCACGCGGGUUCAAUCCCGCUCAGGCUCA